RNAcentral lists this ribosomal RNA (589 nucleotides) under uncultured Acinetobacter sp. Its description in RNAcentral is "bacterial SSU rRNA". It matches the Rfam family "Bacterial small subunit ribosomal RNA", at positions 338 to 918 of the family's 1533-position model. Lineage: Bacteria; Pseudomonadati; Pseudomonadota; Gammaproteobacteria; Moraxellales; Moraxellaceae. The record is from RNAcentral.
CCUACGGGAGGCAGCAGUGGGGAAUAUUGGACAAUGGGGGGAACCCUGAUCCAGCCAUGCCGCGUGUGUGAAGAAGGCCUUUUGGUUGUAAAGCACUUUAAGCGAGGAGGAGGCUACCGAGAUUAAUACUCUUGGAUAGUGGACGUUACUCGCAGAAUAAGCACCGGCUAACUCUGUGCCAGCAGCCGCGGUAAUACAGAGGGUGCAAGCGUUAAUCGGAUUUACUGGGCGUAAAGCGCGCGUAGGUGGCCAAUUAAGUCAAAUGUGAAAUCCCCGAGCUUAACUUGGGAAUUGCAUUCGAUACUGGUUGGCUAGAGUAUGGGAGAGGAUGGUAGAAUUCCAGGUGUAGCGGUGAAAUGCGUAGAGAUCUGGAGGAAUACCGAUGGCGAAGGCAGCCAUCUGGCCUAAUACUGACACUGAGGUGCGAAAGCAUGGGGAGCAAACAGGAUUAGAUACCCUGGUAGUCCAUGCCGUAAACGAUGUCUACUAGCCGUUGGGGCCUUUGAGGCUUUAGUGGCGCAGCUAACGCGAUAAGUAGACCGCCUGGGGAGUACGGUCGCAAGACUAAAACUCAAAUGAAUUGACGGGG